RNAcentral lists this ribosomal RNA (503 nucleotides) under uncultured bacterium. RNAcentral describes it as "partial 16S ribosomal RNA". It matches the Rfam family "Bacterial small subunit ribosomal RNA", at positions 30 to 523 of the family's 1533-position model. The record is from RNAcentral.
AUUGAACGCUGGCGGCGGGCUUAACACAUGCAAGUCGAGCGGGGUGAUGGUGCUUGCACUAUCACUUAGCGGCGGACGGGUGAGUAAUGCUUAGGAACCUGCCUAUUAGUGGGGGACAACAUCUCGAACGGGAUGCUAAUACCGCAUACGUCCUACGGGAGAAAGCAGGGGAUCAUUUGUGACCUUGCGCUAAUAGAUGAGCCUAAGUCGGAUUAGCUAGUUGGUGGGGUAAAGGCCUACCAAGGCGACGAUCUGUAGCGGGUCUGAGAGGAUGAUCCGCCACACUGGGACUGAGACACGGCCCAGACUACUACGGGAGGCAGCAGUGGGGAAUAUUGGACAAUGGGGGGAACCCUGAUCCAGCCAUGCCGCGUGUGUGAAGAAGGCCUUAUGGUUGUAAAGCACUUUAAGCGAGGAGGAGGCUCUUUUGGUUAAUACCCAAGACGAGUGGACGUUACUCGCAGAAUAAGCACCGGCUAACUCUGUGCCAGCAGCCGCAGUAA